CGCAGGCGGUCGUUCAAGUCGCGUGUGAAAGCCCCCGGCUCAACUGGGGAGGGUCACGCGAUACUGAUCGACUCGAAGGCAGGAGAGGGUAGUGGAAUUCCCGGUGUAGUGGUGAAAUGCGUAGAUAUCGGGAGGAACACCAGUGGCGAAGGCGACUACCUGGCCUGUUCUUGACGCUGAGGCGCGAAAGCUAGGGGAGCAAACG
This 205-nucleotide ribosomal RNA is filed under the name uncultured bacterium. Its description in RNAcentral is "partial 16S ribosomal RNA". It matches the Rfam family "Bacterial small subunit ribosomal RNA", at positions 570 to 774 of the family's 1533-position model. The record is from RNAcentral.